AUACGUAUGUCGCAAGCGUUAUCCGGAAUUAUUGGGCGUAAAGCGAGUCUAGGCGGCUUGUUAAGUCAGAUGUGAAAAUGCGGGGCUCAACUCCGUAUUGCGUUUGAAACUGGCAGGCUAGAGUACUGGAGAGGUGGGCGGAACUACAAGUGUAGAGGUGAGAUUCGUAGAUAUUUGUAGGAAUGCCGAUAGUGAAGACAGCUCACUGGACAGAUACUGACGCUAAAGCUCGAAAGCGUGGGGAGCGAACAGGAUUAGAAACCCUAGUAGUCC
RNAcentral lists this ribosomal RNA (273 nucleotides) under uncultured bacterium. RNAcentral's name for it is "partial 16S ribosomal RNA". It matches the Rfam family "Bacterial small subunit ribosomal RNA", at positions 523 to 796 of the family's 1533-position model. The record is from RNAcentral.